GUUUUGAGAAUUAGUGAAUGCAGGA
RNAcentral lists this non-coding RNA (25 nucleotides) under Cricetulus griseus (Chinese hamster). Lineage: Eukaryota; Metazoa; Chordata; Mammalia; Rodentia; Cricetidae. The record is from RNAcentral.